This is a long non-coding RNA of Leopardus geoffroyi (Geoffroy's cat), 1207 nucleotides long. RefSeq lists it as uncharacterized. The transcript has 2 exons. NCBI's taxonomy places the organism in Eukaryota, Metazoa, Chordata, Mammalia, Carnivora, Felidae. The record is from RefSeq and is a predicted model, not a curated record.
GAAGGGAGAGGAGGACGAAGAGGAGGACGGGAGGAAGAAGAGAGGCUCGGAGGGUGGGAAUGGGGUCCAGGGUCAUCUCCAAAGAGAAAACAACAUUCUUGGGAGCUGACAACACUGAUGUCUCGAGCAGAAAAACAAUUCUCUGCAACACCCCUGCUGCAUUCCUUCAGUCCAGCAGAGGGUAUAGAAGUAAACGUCCAAGGGCACGGGGGUGACAGGGAGAGGGAGAGAAAAGGAGAGGGGAUGGCUGGUGUUUCCCCAGAGCGGGGAUUCUCAAGCACCAGUAAUCUGACCCCUCCGAGGACACGUGGCAACGUCUGGAGGCAAUUUUUGGCUAUCACAACUGUGGUGUGAGCGGGGAGGAAGAGUUCCUGCUACUGGCGUGUGGUCACCGAGGUCGGGGACUCUGCGGCACAUCCCCCCCCCCCCCCCCCGCCCCGAGAUUACCCAGCCCCGAAGAUCCGUCCUUUGCAAACGCCCCAGAAGAGCUCGCUUCGGGGGUGGAACCAAUGGAAGAGUGACAGAGGCCCAGCAACACGGCGGGAUUGGCGCGCGGACGCGAGCACGUGACGCGCUGAGCUCACAAAGGGCCUGGGGUGUUGGGCUGCUGGGGGCGGGGUGGGCGGUGCUGGUGGGACUGGUGCCCGUCUGUCUGCCUGCCUUUCCUCCUUCCAAAGGAUUUGGUUCCCCUGAAGGUCAUAACCAUGUUUGGGACUUAACUCAGCACCAUGAGAAAAUCCAACAGCCCAGCGGUCAGCAAACAUUUCCCCCAAGAGAGAGGAUGAGAUCAAGGGCUGGCUGGGAACCGUUUGCCUUGCUUUGUCAUUGUCAUGUCAUAGGUAACCAUAAAAGGUAAUAAUCAAAGGCGUCUGAAGUUUGGGGGGGGGGGGGGGCGGGGGGAGAAGCCCAAGGGACUCUUCAUUUUCCUGUUUACUUGCGUGCAUUUGGCUCGUGUGGCCUCGUGUGGCCGAACUCAGACCGCCCCGUUUAAAAAUAACCAGUUUCAUGCCCUACCUCUGGGACAGUCAGACUUUAAAAAGUUCCAGUGCUCAAAUAUGCCUGCUUUAGGAAGGUUAAGAAGUUAGUUAGCCUGUUGGAGAUUUGGUUUGUUUUUAAUUCGUUGCAGUUGUGGCGACAUACACACGUAACGAAAUGUACCACCUUAACCAUUUUAAAGUGUACCGUUCACGGAUGCGGGAAACAAAGG